UGUUGGUGGGGUAAUGGCCUACCAAGGCGUCGACGGGUAGCCGGCCUGAGAGGGUGUACGGCCACAUUGGGACUGAGAUACGGCCCAGACUCCUACGGGAGGCAGCAGUGGGGAAUAUUGCACAAUGGGCGCAAGCCUGAUGCAGCGACGCCGCGUGGGGGAUGACGGCCUUCGGGUUGUAAACUCCUUUCGCUAGGGACGAAGCGUUUUUGUGACGGUACCUGGAGAAGAAGCACCGGCUAACUACGUGCCAGCAGCCGCGGUAAUACGUAGGGUGCGAGCGUUGUCCGGAAUUACUGGGCGUAAAGAGCUCGUAGGUGGUUUGUCGCGUCGUUUGUGUAAGCCCGCAGCUUAACUGCGGGACUGCAGGCGAUACGGGCAUAACUUGAGUGCUGUAGGGGAGACUGGAAUUCCUGGUGUAGCGGUGGAAUGCGCAGAUAUCAGGAGGAACACCGAUGGCGAAGGCAGGUCUCUGGGCAGUAACUGACGCUGAGGAGCGAAAGCAUGGGUAGCGAACAGGAUUAGAUACCCUGGUAGUCCAUGCCGUAAACGGUGGGCGCUAGGUGUGAGUCCCUUCCACGGGGUUCGUGCCGUAGCUAACGCAUUAAGCGCCCCGCCUGGGGAGUACGGCCGCAAGGCUAAAACUCAAAGGAAUUGACGGGGGCCCGCACAAGCGGCGGAGCAUGUGGAUUAAUUCGAUGCAACGCGAAGAACCUUACCUGGGCUUGACAUACACCAGAUCGCCGUAGAGAUACGGUUUCCCUUUGUGGUUGGUGUACAGGUGGUGCAUGGUGUCGUCAG
This 801-nucleotide ribosomal RNA is filed under the name Corynebacterium mucifaciens. RNAcentral describes it as "bacterial SSU rRNA". It matches the Rfam family "Bacterial small subunit ribosomal RNA", at positions 247 to 1058 of the family's 1533-position model. Lineage: Bacteria; Bacillati; Actinomycetota; Actinomycetes; Mycobacteriales; Corynebacteriaceae. The record is from RNAcentral.